This 337-nucleotide unclassified non-coding RNA is filed under the name soil metagenome. RNAcentral describes it as "partial contains 5.8S ribosomal RNA, internal transcribed spacer 2, and large subunit ribosomal RNA". The stretch from base 1 to 120 matches the Rfam family "5.8S ribosomal RNA", at positions 35 to 154 of the family's 154-position model. The record is from RNAcentral.
GAUGAAGAACGUAGCGAAAUGCGAUAAGUAGUGUGAAUUGCAGAAUUCAGCGAAUCAUCGAAUCUUUGAACGCACAUUGCGCCCCUUGGUAUUCCAUGGGGCAUGCCUGUUCGAGCGUCAUUUGUACCUUCAAGCUCUGCUUGGUGUUGGGUGUUUGUCUCGCCUCUGCGUGUAGACUCGCCUUAAAACAAUUGGCAGCCGGCGUAUUGAUUUCGGAGCGCAGUACAUCUCGCGCUUUGCACUCAUAACGACGACGUCCAAAAGUACAUUUUUACACUCUUGACCUCGGAUCAGGUAGGGAUACCCGCUGAACUUAAGCAUAUCAAUAAGCGGAGGA